RNAcentral lists this microRNA (20 nucleotides) under Schmidtea mediterranea. RNAcentral's name for it is "sme-miR-2170". The record is from miRBase by way of RNAcentral. Lineage: Eukaryota; Metazoa; Platyhelminthes; Tricladida; Dugesiidae.
ACAGUGAAAUUUUGUAGAGA